ACACACCGCCCGUCACUCUCCCCAAGUCUAAACCAAACCCGCAUAUAUAAUUAAACCCUUAUAGCAAAGGGGAGGCAAGUCGUAACAUGGUAAGUGUACCGGAAGGUGUACUUGGACAAACCAAAAUGUAGCUAAGACAGAAAAGCAUCUCCCUUAC
RNAcentral lists this ribosomal RNA (157 nucleotides) under Betta pallifina. RNAcentral's name for it is "partial 12S ribosomal RNA". Lineage: Eukaryota; Metazoa; Chordata; Actinopteri; Anabantiformes; Osphronemidae. The record is from RNAcentral.